Molecule: ribosomal RNA, 497 nt
Filed under: uncultured bacterium
Lineage: Bacteria
Description: partial 16S ribosomal RNA
Rfam family: Bacterial small subunit ribosomal RNA
Source: RNAcentral
GAUGAACGCUGGCGGCGUGCCUAAUACAUGCAAGUCGAGCGAACAGACGAGGCGCUUGCUCCUCUGACGUUAGCGGCGGACGGGUGAGUAACACGUGGAUAACCUACCUAUAAGACUGGGAUACCUUCGGGAAACCGGAGCUAAUACCGGAUAAUAUAUUGAACCUCAUGGUUCAAUAGUGAAAGACGGUUUUGCUGUCACUUAUACAUGGAUCCGCGCCGCAUUAGCUAGUUGGUAAGGUAACGGCUUACCAAGGCAACGAUGCGUAGCCGACCUGAGAGGGUGAUCGGCCACACUGGAACUGAGACACGGUCCAGACUCCUACGGGAGGCAGCAGUAGGGAAUAUUCCGCAAUGGGCGAAAGCCUGACGGAGCAACGCCGCGUGAGUGAUGAAGGUCUUCGGAUCGUAAAACUCCGUUAUUAGGGAAGAACAAAUGUGUAAGUAACUAUGCACGUCUUGACGGUACCUAAUCAGAAAGCCACGGCUAACUACGUG